Molecule: ribosomal RNA, 253 nt
Filed under: uncultured bacterium
Lineage: Bacteria
Description: partial 16S ribosomal RNA
Rfam family: Bacterial small subunit ribosomal RNA
Source: RNAcentral
UACAGAGGUCCCAAGCGUUGUUCGGAUUCAUUGGGCGUAAAGGGUGCGUAGGCGGCGCGGUAAGUCGGGUGGGAAAUCUCGGGGCUUAACUCCGAAACUGCAUUCGAUACUGCCGUGCUUGAGGACUGGAGAGGAGACUGGAAUUUACGGUGUAGCGGUGAAAUGCGUAGAUAUCGUAAGGAAGACCAGUGGCGAAGGCGGGUCUCUGGACAGUUCCUGACGCUGAGGCACGAAGGCCAGGGGAGCAAACGGG